Molecule: non-coding RNA, 70 nt
Organism: Megalops atlanticus (tarpon)
Lineage: Eukaryota; Metazoa; Chordata; Actinopteri; Elopiformes; Megalopidae
Source: the annotation of a GenBank genome assembly
GGCUCGUUGGUUGGGGUAUGAUCCUUGCUUAGAGUGUGAGAGAUACAGAGUUCAAAUCCCGGACGAGCCC